This 465-nucleotide ribosomal RNA is filed under the name Vreelandella stevensii. Its description in RNAcentral is "partial 16S ribosomal RNA". It matches the Rfam family "Bacterial small subunit ribosomal RNA", at positions 338 to 795 of the family's 1533-position model. Lineage: Bacteria; Pseudomonadati; Pseudomonadota; Gammaproteobacteria; Oceanospirillales; Halomonadaceae. The record is from RNAcentral.
CCUACGGGUGGCAGCAGUGGGGAAUAUUGGACAAUGUGGGCAACCCUGAUCCAGCCAUGCCGCGUGUGUGAAGAAGGCCCUCGGGUUGUAAAGCACUUUCAGUGAGGAAGAACGCCUGGUGGUUAAUACCCAUCAGGAAAGACAUCACUCACAGAAGAAGCACCGGCUAACUCCGUGCCAGCAGCCGCGGUAAUACGGAGGGUGCGAGCGUUAAUCGGAAUUACUGGGCGUAAAGCGCGCGUAGGUGGCUUGAUAAGCCGGUAGUGAAAGCCCCGGGCUCAACCUGGGAACGGCAUCCGGAACUGUCAAGCUAGAGUGCAGGAGAGGAAGGUAGAAUUCCCGGUGUAGCGGUGAAAUGCGUAGAGAUCGGGAGGAAUACCAGUGGCGAAGGCGGCCUUCUGGACUGACACUGACACUGAGGUGCGAAAGCGUGGGUAGCAAACAGGAUUAGAUACCCCGGUAGUC